This 274-nucleotide ribosomal RNA is filed under the name uncultured bacterium. RNAcentral's name for it is "partial 16S ribosomal RNA". It matches the Rfam family "Bacterial small subunit ribosomal RNA", at positions 523 to 796 of the family's 1533-position model. The record is from RNAcentral.
AUACGUAGGGUGCGAGCGUUAAUCGGAAUUACUGGGCGUAAAGCGUGCGCAGGCGGUUUUGUAAGUCAGAUGUGAAAUCCCCGGGCUUAACCUGGGAACUGCGUUUGAAACUGCAAGGCUAGAGUGUGGCAGAGGGGGGUGGAAUUCCGCGUGUAGCAGUGAAAUGCGUAGAGAUGUGGAGGAACACCGAUGGCGAAGGCAGCCCCCUGGGUUAACACUGACGCUCAGGCACGAAAGCAUGGGGAGCAAACAGGAUUAGAUACCCCAGUAGUCC